GGAGUAGGCGCAGGCGGUUGCAGGUCAGUCAGAUUGACUGGUUUGAGGAAAGUCCGGGCUCCCGAAAGACCAAACUUGCUGGAUAACGCCCAGUGCGAGCGAUCGUGAGGAUAGUGCCACAGAAAGAUACCGCCAAGAAUUAGGGAGUAGGGAGUAGGGAGUAGGGAGUAGGGAAAAAACACCCCAUUCACCACUCACGAUUCACCGCUCCCCAGUAAUUGGUAAGGGUGCAAAGGUGCGGUAAGAGCGCACCAGCACAACCGAGAGGUUGUGGCUCGGUAAACCCCGGUUGGGAGCAAGGUAAUGGAAACUACGGUUGGUCUUUUACCAGUUUCCGCAAGUAGAGCCGCUAGAGGCGUUUGGUAACAAGCGUCCCAGAUAGAUAACUGCCCUCAAAGGUGUUUUUAAACACUGGCGAGAACAGAACCCGGCUUAUGUCCGACUCUCUCC
Molecule: RNase P RNA, 450 nt
Filed under: Nodularia sp. (in: cyanobacteria)
Lineage: Bacteria; Bacillati; Cyanobacteriota; Cyanophyceae; Nostocales; Nodulariaceae
Description: Nodularia sp. (in: Bacteria) RNase P RNA component class A
Rfam family: Bacterial RNase P class A
About the family: Ribonuclease P (RNase P) is a ubiquitous endoribonuclease, found in archaea, bacteria and eukarya as well as chloroplasts and mitochondria.
Source: RNAcentral